UAAGCCUGUGAAGGUGGCCUGUGAGGGUUGCUGGAGGUAUCAGAAGUGCGAAUGCUGACAUAAGUAACGAUAAAGCGGGUGAAAAGCCCGCUCGCCGGAAGACCAAGGGUUCCUGUCCAACGUUAAUCGGGGCAGGGUGAGUCGACCCCUAAGGCGAGGCCGAAAGGCGUAGUCGAUGGGAAACGGGUUAAUAUUCCCGUACUUGGUGUUACUGCGAAGGGGGGACGGAGAAGGCUAUGUUGGCCGGGCGACGGUUGUCCCGGUUUAAGCGUGUAGGUGUGUGUUCCAGGUAAAUCCGGUUCACUUUAACACUGAGGCGUGACGACGAGGCACUACGGUGCUGAAGCAACAAAUGCCCUGCUUCCAGGAAAAGCCUCUAAGCAUCAGGUAACAUCAAAUCGUACCCCAAACCGACACAGGUGGUCAGGUAGAGAAUACCAAGGCGCUUGAGAGAACUCGGGUGAAGGAACUAGGCAAAAUGGUGCCGUAACUUCGGGAGAAGGCACGCUGACACGUAGGUGAAGUGAUUUACUCACGGAGCUGAAGUCAGUCGAAGAUACCAGCUGGCUGCAACUGUUUAUUAAAAACACAGCACUGUGCAAACACGAAAGUGGACGUAUACGGUGUGACGCCUGCCCGGUGCCGGAAGGUUAAUUGAUGGGGUCAGCGCAAGCGAAGCUCCUGAUCGAAGCCCCGGUAAACGGCGGCCGUAACUAUAACGGUCCUAAGGUAGCGAAAUUCCUUGUCGGGUAAGUUCCGACCUGCACGAAUGGCGUAAUGAUGGCCAGGCUGUCUCCACCCGAGACUCAGUGAAAUUGAACUCGCUGUGAAGAUGCAGUGUACCCGCGGCAAGACGGAAAGACCCCGUGAACCUUUACUAUAGCUUGACACUGAACAUUGAGCCUUGAUGUGUAGGAUAGGUGGGAGGCUUUGAAGUGUGGACGCCAGUCUGCAUGGAGCCGACCUUGAAAUACCACCCUUUAAUGUUUGAUGUUCUAACGUGGACCCGUAAUCCGGGUUGCGGACAGUGUCUGGUGGGUAGUUUGACUGGGGCGGUCUCCUCCUAAAGAGUAACGGAGGAGCACGAAGGUUGGCUAAUCCUGGUCGGACAUCAGGAGGUUAGUGCAAUGGCAUAAGCCAGCUUGACUGCGAGCGUGACGGCGCGAGCAGGUGCGAAAGCAGGUCAUAGUGAUCCGGUGGUUCUGAAUGGAAGGGCCAUCGCUCAACGGAUAAAAGGUACUCCGGGGAUAACAGGCUGAUACCGCCCAAGAGUUCAUAUCGACGGCGGUGUUUGGCACCUCGAUGUCGGCUCAUCACAUCCUGGGGCUGAAGUAGGUCCCAAGGGUAUGGCUGUUCGCCAUUUAAAGUGGUACGCGAGCUGGGUUUAGAACGUCGUGAGACAGUUCGGUCCCUAUCUGCCGUGGGCGCUGGAGAACUGAGGGGGGCUGCUCCUAGUACGAGAGGACCGGAGUGGACGCAUCACUGGUGUUCGGGUUGUCAUGCCAAUGGCACUGCCCGGUAGCUAAAUGCGGAAGAGAUAAGUGCUGAAAGCAUCUAAGCACGAAACUUGCCCCGAGAUGAGUUCUCCCUGAGACUUAGAGUCUCCUGAAGGAACGUUGAAGACGACGACGUUGAUAGGCCGGGUGUGUAAGCGCAGCGAUGCGUUGAGCUAACCGGUACUAAUGAACCGUGAGGCUUAACCUUACAACGCCGAAG
Molecule: ribosomal RNA, 1716 nt
Filed under: Salmonella enterica subsp. enterica serovar Derby
Lineage: Bacteria; Pseudomonadati; Pseudomonadota; Gammaproteobacteria; Enterobacterales; Enterobacteriaceae
Description: partial 23S ribosomal RNA
Rfam family: Bacterial large subunit ribosomal RNA
Source: RNAcentral